This 1086-nucleotide long non-coding RNA is filed under the name Capra hircus (goat). RNAcentral's name for it is "lncRNA (ENSCHIG00010022272.1)". Lineage: Eukaryota; Metazoa; Chordata; Mammalia; Artiodactyla; Bovidae. The record is from RNAcentral.
AUACCACGAGGCAGUGAGGUGUAGUGGUAAGAGACUCAGAGAAACUUGGGUUCUGGUUUCUGCUCUGUCACUUGCUAGAAGUUCAGGGCCUCAGUAUCCUUAUCUGUACAGUGGGGACAAUACCACCUUUUCAGAGUAAUGUUAUGAUUAAGAGCUAAUGUAUGUAGAGCCCCUUGCACAGUGCCUGGCAGAGUAAGUACUCAAUAAAUGUGAGCCAUUGUUGUUAUUAGACUUUGCAGUGAAGAGAGAACUCAGUGUGGGCUGGUGAAGUAGCAGAGGCACCAGAGGAGAACUGGACUUGAAGUUUCAACUUUCUUUUAGCUCAGAAGCUGUAAGGUUCCAUUUAGCACCCAGAAGAUAGGCACGAAACAUGCUAAAGGGUGGUCAGAGUGCACUACUGGGAAGUUGGACUUCUAGCCUCACCAUCAUGUUCCACUGCCUGCACCAUUACACCAUGGCUUAUGUUGCCCACCUCCUACCUAAUUUUCUUCCACUUCCAUCUGUCAGAAUCCAUCAGGGUUUAGUUAAAAUGCCUAUCUUUUCUCUGGCUAUGUAAGUUUUGUAUACACGGAACUUUGGGCUGGUUGGAAGAGGACUUAGAGGUGGAUGAUAUCUUUUUCACUGGCUUUCAAAUGUUUUGAAGAAGUGAAAUCCUUUUUUUCAAAUGAAAUCUUACAUGGAAGCUCAAUAUAUGCAACCAACUGAAGCAUAGCUAUUAUGAAUAAGUAGCAGUUUUGAAGGUGGGAGGCUUAGAGCUCCACUUGCUUCCCUUAUUUGCCUUCCACCUACCUCCAAUCCCCAGGGAGGCUCUUCCCAAGAAGUUCAAAGAAGCCACAGAGCAUCUUUGAAAACCAUAUUUCCAGUCUGCUCUGUUAAAUUUACAGCUGAGAAAACAGAUCCCCAGAGUGAUCAGAGCACUUACCCUUGGUCACAGAGCUAAUGAGUAGCAGAUUUAGAACUAGAAGCUCUCUUCUCUUAAAUCCUGUAGUCCUUAGAGUUGGAACCAUUAGAGUUGGGACCACACAUUUUAGUAUUCAAUUAUUUUCUGUCUCAUGUCAGCUGCUCUUGGAGUCUUUUCUCUCCAAU